RNAcentral lists this ribosomal RNA (253 nucleotides) under uncultured bacterium. RNAcentral describes it as "partial 16S ribosomal RNA". It matches the Rfam family "Bacterial small subunit ribosomal RNA", at positions 524 to 776 of the family's 1533-position model. The record is from RNAcentral.
AACGUAGGAGGCAAGCGUUAUUCGGAUUUACUGGGCGUAAAGCGCGUGCAGGCGGUUCGGUAAGUUGGAUGUGAAAGCUCCUGGCUCAACUGGGAGAGGUCGUUCAAUACUGCCGGGCUAGAGGAUGAGAGAGGGAGGUGGAAUUCCGGGUGUAGUGGUGGAAUGCGUAGAUAUCCGGAGGAACACCAGUGGCGAAAGCGGCCUCCUGGCUCAUUUCUGACGCUAAGACGCGAAAGCUAGGGUAGCAAACGGG